Molecule: ribosomal RNA, 253 nt
Filed under: uncultured bacterium
Lineage: Bacteria
Description: partial 16S ribosomal RNA
Rfam family: Bacterial small subunit ribosomal RNA
Source: RNAcentral
UACGAAGGGGGCUAGCGUUGUUCGGAAUUACUGGGCGUAAAGCGCACGUAGGCGGAAUGUUAAGUCAGGGGUGAAAUCCCGGGGCUCAACCCCGGAACUGCCUUUGAUACUGGCAUUCUCGAGUCCGGAAGAGGUGAGUGGAAUUCCGAGUGUAGAGGUGAAAUUCGUAGAUAUUCGGAGGAACACCAGUGGCGAAGGCGGCGACCUGGACAGAUAUUGACGCUGAGGUGCGAAAGCGUGGGGAGCAAACAGG